Molecule: long non-coding RNA, 680 nt
Organism: Anguilla rostrata (American eel)
Lineage: Eukaryota; Metazoa; Chordata; Actinopteri; Anguilliformes; Anguillidae
Exons: 3
Source: RefSeq, a predicted model, not a curated record
UCCCAAGCUUGAGGUUUCAUUAUUUUUGUUGGUUAAUAGAGCACAGUAAUGCCUUAGACUUGUGUGGAUUAGUCAGAAUACUUAAUGAACAUAAUUUACAUACCCCCUCCCUGUUUUUGUGUGUACAUUUCAGGAAUGCGUAGGUACAUAUAUAUCAACUGCCAAGGUGCACAGUGUCACAGCUGUGAAUUUGUGCAUGUGUGUGUGUGUGCACGUGGGUGGGUGUGUGCGUGCAUGUGUGCGCGUGCGUGCGUGUGUGUGUGCGCGUGGGUGUGCAUGUGUGUGGUUUCUCCACAGGCUGGGUUGGUGUAAUCUCACAGAGGGCUGCUGUGGUGUUCUGGCCUCAGUCCUGCGUUCUCCUCACUCAGAGCUGAAAUAUCUGGAGCUCAGAGACAACGAGCUGCAGGAUUCAGGAGUGAGAGCGCUCUCUGCUGGACUGGAGGACCCACAUUGUAAACUGCAGAGACUGGGGCUGUCAGGCUGUAGAGUCACACAGACAGGCUGUGAUUCUCUGGCUUCAGCUCUGUGUUCAAACCCCUCACACCUGAGAGAGCUGGACCUGAGAUACAAUCACCCAGGAGACUCAGGAGUGAGAGCGCCGUCUGCUGCUAAACUGGACAUGCUCACACUGCUUGUGGACCAUGGAGGCGAGAACAGGAUCAAACCUGGACCCAGGAAAU